Molecule: ribosomal RNA, 776 nt
Filed under: uncultured Neocallimastigales
Lineage: Eukaryota; Fungi; Neocallimastigomycota; Neocallimastigomycetes; Neocallimastigales
Description: partial large subunit ribosomal RNA
Rfam family: Eukaryotic large subunit ribosomal RNA
Source: RNAcentral
CGAGCACGCGCGUGUGGCAUAUCAAUAAGCGGAGGAAAAGAAACUAACAAGGAUUCCCCUAGUAACGGCGAGUGAAGCGGGAAGAGCUCAAAUUUGAAAUCUUAAAGGGUUUCCCUUUACGAAUUGUAGUUUAAAGAAGUGUUUUCUGUUGGAGUUUCGGUAAAAGUUCUUUGGAAUAGGACAUCAUAGAGGGUGAGAAUCCCGUAUUUGACCGUUACUUUCCAGCUGUGUGAUACACUUUCAAAGAGUCGGAUUGUUUGGGAAUGCAGUCCAAAAUGGGUGGUAAAUUUCAUCUAAAGCUAAAUAUUGGCGAGAGACCGAUAGCGAACAAGUACCGUGAGGGAAAGAUGAAAAGAACUUUGAAAAGAGAGUUAAACAGUACGUGAAAUUGUCAAAAGGGAAGCGUUUGACACCAGUGUUGUUUUUCCGAAAAUCAAUUACGAAUGUUUUAUUUUUGAGGAGUUAUGACUUCAUCGGCUUGCUCCUUUCUUUAUGAAACUUUCUUAAUGCACUUUUCGGUUAACAAGUCAACAUCAAUUUCUUUUGUUGUAAAAGGGUAUGAGGAAGGUGGCUUUCUUUUCGGAGAAAGUGUUUAUAGCCUUGUGCCUCUGCAAUCGGAGAGAUUGAGGUCUGCAGCGUAGAUCCUUCGGGGUUAGAUACGUUUGUGCUAAGUUAUAGCUUUUCAUAGACAACUUGUUGACUAUGUUUAGUCUUGUAGCUUACUCGCUUACUGCUAUUUUACCUACGCUUAGGAUGUUGAACUCUAUCACACACAG